UNGUGUCACACCUGAUGGAGCUGCCUAGG
This 29-nucleotide non-coding RNA is filed under the name Homo sapiens (human). The record is from RNAcentral. Lineage: Eukaryota; Metazoa; Chordata; Mammalia; Primates; Hominidae.